Molecule: ribosomal RNA, 433 nt
Filed under: uncultured bacterium
Lineage: Bacteria
Description: partial 16S ribosomal RNA
Rfam family: Bacterial small subunit ribosomal RNA
Source: RNAcentral
AACGAACGCUGGCGGCAUGCCUAACACAUGCAAGUCGAACGAGACCUUCGGGUCUAGUGGCGCACGGGUGCGUAACGCGUGGGAACCUGCCCUUAGGUUCGGAAUAACUCCCCGGAAGGGGUGCUAAUACCGGAUAAUGUCUUCGGACCAAAGAUUUAUGGCCUUUGGAUGGGCCCGCGUUGGAUUAGCUAGUUGGUAGGGUAAAAGCCUACCAAGGCGACGAUCCAUAGCUGGUCUGAGAGGAUGAUCAGCCACACUGGGACUGAGACACGGCCCAGACUCCUACGGGAGGCAGCAGUGGGGAAUAUUGGACAAUGGGCGAAAGCCUGAUCCAGCAAUGCCGCGUGAGUGAUGAAGGCCUUAGGGUUGUAAAGCUCUUUUACCCGGGAUGAUAAUGACAGUACCGGGAGAAUAAGCUCCGGCUAACUCCGUG